UGGCUCAGGACGAACGCUGGCGGCGUGCCUAAUACAUGCAAGUCGAGCGGACAGAAGGGAGCUUGCUCCCGGAUGUUAGCGGCGGACGGGUGAGUAACACGUGGGUAACCUGCCUGUAAGACUGGGAUAACUCCGGGAAACCGGAGCUAAUACCGGAUAGUUCCUUGAACCGCAUGGUUCAAGGAUGAAAGACGGUUUCGGCUGUCACUUACAGAUGGACCCGCGGCGCAUUAGCUAGUUGGUGAGGUAACGGCUCACCAAGGCGACGAUGCGUAGCCGACCUGAGAGGGUGAUCGGCCACACUGGGACUGAGACACGGCCCAGACUCCUACGGGAGGCAGCAGUAGGGAAUCUUCCGCAAUGGACGAAAGUCUGACGGAGCAACGCCGCGUGAGUGAUGAAGGUUUUCGGAUCGUAAAGCUCCUGUUGUUAGGGAAGAACAAGUGCAAGAGUAACUGCUUGCACCUUGACGUACCAACCAGAAA
Molecule: ribosomal RNA, 485 nt
Filed under: marine sediment bacterium ISA-7277
Lineage: Bacteria
Description: bacterial SSU rRNA
Rfam family: Bacterial small subunit ribosomal RNA
Source: RNAcentral